UGUUGCUAAAACGUCACCAUUAUUAAUUAUGUGGCCAAUGAGCGAUCGCCCGGUUAGGGUAUAUAAGUUGGUUGGUUCUGCCUCUUGCUGUGUGUCAUGGUCGAAAGCCCGCCCCUUCCUUCCUGUUGUGGCCUUCCAAGUGUGUUGUUAGGCUGCUGAGAUAUACUGGGUGCGGUGCGUUGUUGGCUCUCAGUGUGGUGUGCCUUCAUGGCUCCCAUUGAUUGUGGCCUCGCAGUGUAACGUAGCCCAGGUCAUAGCACCAGCUGUUGUCGCUGUCACCUUUUAAAGGGGAGCCUUUAAAGAGGUUGUUGUUGUAUGAUCCUUAGAUCUGUUGUCAUGAGCAUUACACCAUCGUAUUAACGGGUAGGUAAAUCGCUCUAAUAGCUAAAAAACCUCGGAUGUUUUAUUGUAGUUAUAA
Long non-coding RNA from Sinocyclocheilus anshuiensis, 418 nucleotides. RefSeq lists it as uncharacterized. The transcript is spliced from 3 exons. The record is from RefSeq and is a predicted model, not a curated record. NCBI's taxonomy places the organism in Eukaryota, Metazoa, Chordata, Actinopteri, Cypriniformes, Cyprinidae.